Molecule: RNase P RNA, 335 nt
Filed under: uncultured Eubacteriales bacterium
Lineage: Bacteria; Bacillati; Bacillota; Clostridia; Eubacteriales
Description: uncultured Clostridiales bacterium RNaseP_bact_a
Rfam family: Bacterial RNase P class A
About the family: Ribonuclease P (RNase P) is a ubiquitous endoribonuclease, found in archaea, bacteria and eukarya as well as chloroplasts and mitochondria. Its best characterised activity is the generation of mature 5'-ends of tRNAs by cleaving the 5'-leader elements of precursor-tRNAs.
Source: RNAcentral
GAGGAAAGUCCGGGCUCCACAGGGCAAGGAUAACGGGUAACACCCGCCGGGGGCGACCCUAGGACAAGUGCAACAGAGAUAAACCGCCGGCGGCCGCCUGAAUAUGCAGAGAUAACGUAAUGUCCGCAUAUUCAGGUGGUUGUCGGUAAGGAUGGAAAGGCGGAGAUAAGCGCCCGCCCGAUGACGUGUGAAAGCGCUCAUCGCUGUAAACUCUAUCCGGAGCAACGCCGUGGGAGAGCAUAUGACCGGCCCGGUCGCUCUCAGGAGGCGGCUGGAGCGUGUCGGCAACGGCACGUCGAGAUAGAUGGCUGUCUUAAAUGACAGAACCCGGCUUA